Molecule: transfer RNA, 74 nt
Filed under: Sporosarcina ureae
Lineage: Bacteria; Bacillati; Bacillota; Bacilli; Caryophanales; Caryophanaceae
Also listed under: 14 other names
Description: tRNA-Met
Rfam family: tRNA
About the family: Transfer RNA (tRNA) molecules are approximately 80 nucleotides in length. Their secondary structure includes four short double-helical elements and three loops (D, anti-codon, and T loops). Further hydrogen bonds mediate the characteristic L-shaped molecular structure. tRNAs have two regions of fundamental functional importance: the anti-codon, which is responsible for specific mRNA codon recognition, and the 3' end, to which the tRNAs corresponding amino acid is attached (by aminoacyl-tRNA synthetases). tRNAs cope with the degeneracy of the genetic code in two manners: having more than one tRNA (with a specific anti-codon) for a particular amino acid; and 'wobble' base-pairing, i.e. permitting non-standard base-pairing at the 3rd anti-codon position.
Source: RNAcentral
AGCGGCGUAGCUCAGUUGGCUAGAGCAUACGGUUCAUACCCGUAGGGUCGGGGGUUCAAAUCCCUCCGCCGCUA